Molecule: ribosomal RNA, 253 nt
Filed under: uncultured bacterium
Lineage: Bacteria
Description: partial 16S ribosomal RNA
Rfam family: Bacterial small subunit ribosomal RNA
Source: RNAcentral
GACAGAGGAUGCAAGCGUUAUCCGGAAUGAUUGGGCGUAAAGCGUCUGUAGGUGGCUUUUCAAGUCCGUCGUCAAAUCCCAGGGCGCAACCCUGGGCAAGCGGUGGAAACUACCAAGCUGGAGUACGGUAGGGGCAGAGGGAAUUUCCGGUGGAGCGGUGAAAUGCAUUGAGAUCGGAAAGAACACCAACAGCGAAAGCACUCUGCUGGGCCGACACUAACACUGAGAGACGAAAGCUAGGGGAGCAAAUGGG